AGUGAACGCUGGCGGUAGGCCUAACACACGCAAGUCGAACGGCAGCACAGUAAGAGCUUGCUCUUACGGGUGGCGAGUGGCGGACGGGUGAGGAAUACAUCGGAAUCUACUUUUUCGUGGGGGAUAACGUAGGGAAACUUACGCUAAUACCGCAUACGACCUACGGGUGAAAGCAGGGGAUCUUCGGACCUUGCGCGAUUGAAUGAGCCGAUGUCGGAUUAGCUAGUUGGCGGGGUAAAGGCCCACCAAGGCGACGAUCCGUAGCUGGUCUGAGAGGAUGAUCAGCCACACUGGAACUGAGACACGGUCCAGACUCCUACGGGAGGCAGCAGUGGGGAAUAUUGGACAAUGGGCGCAAGCCUGAUCCGGCCAUACCGCGUGGGUGAAGAAGGCCUUCGGGUUGUAAAGCCCUUUUGUUGGGAAAGAAAAGCAGCAGGUUAAUACCCCGCUGUUCUGACGGUACCCAAAGAAUAAGCACCGGCUAACUUCGUG
This 492-nucleotide ribosomal RNA is filed under the name uncultured bacterium. RNAcentral's name for it is "partial 16S ribosomal RNA". It matches the Rfam family "Bacterial small subunit ribosomal RNA", at positions 29 to 507 of the family's 1533-position model. The record is from RNAcentral.